UACGGAGGGGGCUAGCGUUGUUCGGAAUUACUGGGCGUAAAGGGCUCGUAGGCGGCCAAUUAAGUCCGACGUGAAAUCCCCAGGCUUAACCUGGGAACUGCGUCGGAUACUGGAUGGCUUGAAUUCGGGAGAGGGAUGCAGAAUUCCAGGUGUAGCGGUGAAAUGCGUAGAUAUCAGGAGGAACACCGGUGGCGAAGGCGGGUCUCUGGGCCGAUACUGACGCUGAGGAGCGAAAGCGUGGGGAGCGAACAGG
Molecule: ribosomal RNA, 253 nt
Filed under: uncultured bacterium
Lineage: Bacteria
Description: partial 16S ribosomal RNA
Rfam family: Bacterial small subunit ribosomal RNA
Source: RNAcentral